This 201-nucleotide unclassified non-coding RNA is filed under the name uncultured fungus. RNAcentral describes it as "sequence contains ITS1". Lineage: Eukaryota; Fungi. The record is from RNAcentral.
GUACAUUAGUGCUUGCGCACAAGAAGGUCUUUCUGUUACAUUCGAGUUUGUGUAAAUCCUCUGCCAGCCAAAGCCAGCAUGAGGCCAAAGGUUCACAAAAGGGGGUUGGAUGAAAGUCACCAACGUGCACAUGCCGGAGCCAGCACAGAAGGUAACAAAUCAAAAUCAAUAAUGAUCCUUCCGCAGGUUCACCUACGGAAA